This 1280-nucleotide long non-coding RNA is filed under the name Anolis carolinensis (green anole). Its description in RNAcentral is "lncRNA (ENSACAG00000044960.1)". Lineage: Eukaryota; Metazoa; Chordata; Lepidosauria; Squamata; Anolidae. The record is from RNAcentral.
CGGGGUAUAAAAAUAAAGUUGUUAUUAUUAUUAUUAUUAUUAUUAUUAUUAUUAUUAUUAUUAUUAUUAUUAUAUGGGCCAUCCAAUCCAACCCCCUGCCAAGAAACAGGAAAUCGCAUUCAAAGCACCCCUGACAGAUGACCAUCCAGCCUCUGCCUAAAAGCCUCCAAAGAAGGAGCCUCCACCACAGUCCGGGGGAGAGGGUUCCACUGCUGAACAGCUCUCACAGUGAGGAAGUUCUUCCUAAUGUUCAGGUGGAAUCUCCUUUCCUGUAGUUUGAAGCCAUUGUUCCGUGUCCUAGUCUGCAGGGCAGCAGAAAACAAGCUUGCUCCCUCAUCCCUAUGACUUCCCCUCACAUAUUUAUACAUGGCUAUCAUGUCUCCUCUCAGCCUUCUCUUCUGCAGGCUAAACAUGCCCAGUUCUUUAAGCCACUCCUCAUAGGGCUUGUUCUCCAGACCCUUGAUCAUUUUAGUUGCUCUCCUCUGGACACAUUCCAGCUUGUCAACAUCUCCCUUCAACUGCGGUGCCCAGAAUUGGACACAGUAUUCCAGGUGUGGCCUGACCAAGGCAGAAUAGAGCGGGAGCAUGACUUCCCUGGAUCUAGACACUAUACUCCUAUUUAUGCAGGCCAGAAUCCCAUUGGCUUUUUUAGCAGCCGCAUCACAUUGUUGGCUCAUGUUUUAACUUGUUGUCCACAAGGACUCCAAGAUCUUUUUCACACGUACUGCUGUCGAGCCAGGCGUCCCCCAUUCUGUAUCUUUGCAUUCCAUUUUUUCUGCCGAAGUGAAGUAUCUUGCAUUUGUCCCUGUUGAACUUCAUUUUGUUAGUUUCAGCCCAUCUCUCUAAUCUGUCAAGAUCGUUUUGAAUUCUGCUCCUGUCUGUGUACACGAGCCCUUGACUGCUAAGGUUUAAGGGCCACAAUUUAUGAGGGGUCUCCGAACAAUAAUAAUAAAAAUACCUGAAAGUCUCAUUCUGUUAUAAUAGCACUUGUCUAAAGACAUGCUAUAGGGCCUCUUUAACUAGGCAUAAUUGUGAGCAUUCACAUGUAUGAAUCUGAAUCUGGCUCUGGGUGACCUCAAAAAUAUUAGUAGAGAAAUGUAGCAACAGACCUAGCCCUUAAAGGCAACCCUGAUUGAAGAGAUGUUGUGUGUAACCACACUACAACGGAUACUGACAAUACACUGAACCCUCUGGUCAAGGCAGUAUGCUGCAUGUCUGUUUUCUCCUUUGCGUUCAUAGCAUGCUGGCAGCAUUUUAGAGUGUGAGUAGGCAAAGCUGAC